This 72-nucleotide transfer RNA is filed under the name Gloeocapsopsis dulcis AAB1 = 1H9. Its description in RNAcentral is "tRNA-Gly". It matches the Rfam family "tRNA". From Rfam's summary of the family: Transfer RNA (tRNA) molecules are approximately 80 nucleotides in length. Their secondary structure includes four short double-helical elements and three loops (D, anti-codon, and T loops). The record is from RNAcentral. Lineage: Bacteria; Bacillati; Cyanobacteriota; Cyanophyceae; Chroococcidiopsidales; Chroococcidiopsidaceae.
GCAGUUAUAGCUCAGUGGUAGAGCGUCACUUUGCCAAGGUGAGUGUCGCGCGUUCAAAUUGCGUUACCCGCU